Long non-coding RNA from Dromaius novaehollandiae (emu), 2101 nucleotides. RefSeq lists it as uncharacterized. The record is from RefSeq and is a predicted model, not a curated record. The transcript has 4 exons. Lineage: Eukaryota; Metazoa; Chordata; Aves; Casuariiformes; Dromaiidae.
UUUGCUAACGUGCCCCCAGGGCUGAGCACAGGCAAUGCAGACAUACGUGACAGGCUUUUCCAAGCCACCUGACCCAUGUCGGCAAGAUGAAGUUAAAAACUGGACCCUUGGGGACUUAACUGCAAGCCAGUGAGUGUCAGGCUUUCCGUGCGGGAUUGCUCGGAGCUCCCAGGAAUGUUUGUGCUGGGAACUCUGCUCUUAAAGAUCCAGGUUCCCUUUCACUGCCUGGCCCAAGGGACAUUAGCCUCCAGCAGAUCCAGGAGAAGAGCUGCCAGCAUCAUUGUCAAGCUGUGGGAAUUUUGGGGAGAAAGUUCUCCAGACCGCAACUCGGGCACUCGCGCUGUCCCUCUCAGCACGCCUGACGUCCAGCAGCAGGGACGUGGCCGGGGACGUGGCCGAGGGCACCGAUGAGGAGGAAGAGGAUAGGAGAUCAAGAAAGGCGGACCCAGGAACGCCUACUUGUGCUGGUAGGCAGAGAAGGGGUGACACCGAGGGGGCCCCGGUGUGGCACUGGGCACCACGCGAGCGCUGCGGGCAUGAGGAGUCGGAGCCCCGGCUUCCCGCACGAGCCAGCCGCGAGAGCAGCCUGCGCCUCCUCGCCGAAGGCCUCUAGACACCAGGGGCAAAACAGGCAAUACGGCUCAGCGGAAGAAAGGAUGAGGAACGGCGACGGCUCUUCGGCUGCCCGACAGCUGGGGUUUGCAGCUUCGGCUCUGCAAGAAGUGCCUAAGCGAGGGCUGCCCCCACUCCCACCACCUGGUCUUGAUACCUGACCAUUUUGCAUCCUCAUCCUCAAAAAAUAGUCCAGUGCCUUCUAAAAUCAGUACGCAAUAUAUCCCCAGAGCACCUCUGAAGACCCAGGGCUUUAAUCAUUUCUCCCUUCAUUUCACUGCACCCUCUAGAAAUUGGGUAUACUCCUUUUCACUGGCUUUUUGGGAAGGUAAAUACUCCCAAGAGGAACCAGUUAUUGGUUACCACCACGUUACAGCAUAGCUGCCUAAGGGAGGUGUGGCGGUGUAAGAUGCAGCGGGGCAUCGGCCUUGCUCGCCGGACCCCGAGGCGGAUUCGUUCCCAGCCGUCGGUCAGACGUGCCCCGCGGCCGCCUUCUCGCGCGGGAGCCGGUGCUGAAAGCGCGUUGCAGACGUCCACAGCCGUGCCCGGGAGCGAACCAGACGGUGCACGGGGUAACAUGCAGUCUCCAGGAAACAUUGUAUAGUUGUGUCGAAUUUCACCACAUUUCCCCCGUUAUUGGCGGCGGCUCCGUAACAGCGCAGUUCAUUUCCCCAUCCAGGGAAGGAAAGCGCCUUUUUGUAAGGCCUCGUUUGAAAAUAAAGACGCUAUUGAUGCAAAACUUGGCGUGCGACAUCCUUUUAGAAUUAAUCAGCCAAUAAUUCAUCUUUCAUCUGAAAAGAAAUGUGUACUUUUGACAGACAAAUAUAAAAAAUACCUUGUGACCUCGGCACAGAUAAUUCUACCAAUUUAUGUAUGUCCUACGUACGCAAAGAAGAUUUGGAAGUCAACAGUCUCUGUCACUAUCGGGUGCAUAAAUGGCAAGGUAUUCAAGCCUAUAUCCACACACAAAAAAAGACUAGCAAGGAAUUUUAAAAAGAAAAUAUUUCCGGACAAUCAACAGGUGUACUGACGAAAGGAGAGGCGUAUAUGUGCAUGCUACUGUGGGGAAAAAAUGAAAGUUCGUUUGGCCCUCUAAAAUUCCUCCGUUGCGCUCACAUUUGGGACAGUAGAGAAGUACUUACUAAACACUUGCAACAUUUUGGGGACUGGGAUAUAGAGCAAGGUGAAAAGCAUCUCAAAGGGAAAUAUUCCUGAAAUUGCCUAAAUAGAGAAUAUCUUGGCUUUAUAACUCUUAUGUUCUCUGUGAAGUGAUAUAAUUUAUAUUAAUGAAAAUUACACACACACGCACACAUAUUAGCUCAGGAAAGAAAAAAAAUCUCUGUGCAUGUGCCUAAAUUCAGCAGCAAUAACCAUUCAUUAGCAGCUGCUCUUUACUUUCCGGUAACCUCCAGGGUAUACCCUUAGCAGGGUUAAAUUGUCGUAAUUCCACCGGAGGUCGCAGAGCAAUGCUCCUGCCGCUCGCCUGGCG